RNAcentral lists this ribosomal RNA (366 nucleotides) under uncultured bacterium. Its description in RNAcentral is "partial 16S ribosomal RNA". It matches the Rfam family "Bacterial small subunit ribosomal RNA", at positions 338 to 701 of the family's 1533-position model. The record is from RNAcentral.
CCUACGGGAGGCAGCAGUGAGGAAUAUUGGUCAAUGGACGAGAGUCUGAACCAGCCAAGUAGCGUGAAGGAUGACUGCCCUAUGGGUUGUAAACUUCUGUUAUAAAGGAAUAAAACGAGGCACGUGUGCCUGUUUGCAUGUACGUUAUGAAUAAGGAUCGGCUAACUCCGUGCCAGCAGCCGCGGUAAUACGGAGGAUCCGAGCGUGAUCCGGAUUGAUUGGGUUUAAAGGGAGCGUAGAUGGGUUGUUAAGUCAGUUGUGAACGUUUGCGGCUCAACCGGAAAAUUGCAAUUGAUACUGGCAGUCUUGAGUUCAGUUGAGGUAGGCGGACUUCGUUGUGUAGCGGUGAAAUGCUUAGAUAUCACG